ACAGUAACAGAGAAACCCGGAGGUGGGAUGGGAAAACUUUAUUAGGUUUGGUUUCCAGCUUCGGCCACGCGGGCUCCGCCCGCCCCGAGCUCGGGUCACGGGGCGCCCCCGCCGCCCUCCUCGUCGUCCUCCACGUCGAGGCCCGGGAUGCUGCGCCGGCACGCCCUCUGCGCCCUCCGAGAUCCCUGCCGCUUCGCCCUGCGCCCCCUCGUCCAGGGCACCGCCCUCAGCCUCCUCCUGCUCCUUCUCCUCCUCGGGGCUGUCGGUGAAAGGGUUCUCGCCCUGUGGGGAGGGGCGCGGACACUGAAGGGAGGGAGCACAGGCGGGGACUAAGCUGGGGACAGGGCAGGCCCGGACCAGUGCCUCACCUUCAGGUAGCGCUCCAGCUUCUUGCUGAUGAGCUUGUUGUUGAGAAUACUGCGGGCCACCAUGAGGGAGGACUUCUUGGACUGCUCCAUCAUGAGCUGCGGGCAGGGCAGAAGGAGCUGGAGAGGCUGCUCUGAGUGCCCUACAAGUUGCUGCCCCGACCCUGCCAGCUUAGAGGGACCCCACCCCGCCCCUGCACCCACGCACUUCCAGCCCCACCAACGGAGGGCCACUCCACAAGCAUGGAACCACAACCUAUCUGAUCUUUGUUCAAAUUCCCUCUCCUUCCACACCACACUUACUGUAGGUAAAUAAAAAUACAGAUCUAUAUAUCUCUAACUUUACGGCUGUAUUACAGAAAUCUGAUUUGCUUACAAAAAAGCUAUAAGCAGUGAACAAUUAAGAAACUAAGAGCCAAAGGUGGGUGCAACCUGUAACAAGGUGCCAACUAGGCUAAUAGGCAAGGAGCACUUUGGGGCCAACGGGGAAGAUAUAAAAACAGGAACAGAUAUUUAAUGAAACGUCUUUUUUAACCCACAGAAUUCCAAGAAUGAAGAAUUAUUCCCAGUCAUGCAAGGGUGAAGAGAGUCUUCUCUGCUGGUGGGAGGAUCAACUGUUUCCGUAUUUUUUGGAAAGCAGUUUGACACAAUGUAUGAAAAGUAAAAAUCUGUCUCAUUAAUCCCUUCCCAGAACGUAUCCUAAAUUUAAGAACUGGAAACAUGCGUGCACACUGAUUGUAGUGGUGAAAAAUGGGAAAACACCUAAACGUUCCUCAGUGCAGAAGAGGUUAAAUAAAUCGUACAUUCAAAAGAACAUCAUGCAGCCCUUCAAAUCGGGCUCAUCUCUGCACUGGCAUAAGAAAGGUGUAUAAUAUAGUACUGUCUGCAGAGCAUGCCAGAGCCAUUUUGUCUGGAAGGAUUUCCAUCAAUAUGCUGGGCCAUCUCAUGGUGGGAGUACAGGCAAAUCUCACUUUGAUCAUUAUAAAAACCAUAAGGUAAAAGAAGGAUAUUUUUGGUGGGGUGGGAGAGCCCAUUGAGUCCUUCCCACUCCAUUUACAUGUUUCAGAAAGCCUUCUCACUUGCUGUUUCUACUCUCUCCAUCUUCAUUUUUUUUUUUCCUUAGCACGUUUUCUCUACUACUGGAGGAAAAUAUUAACAGACAUCAUACAUGCUCACAAUAAACUAAAGAUACACAAUUAGGAUACUACUAUAGACCGUUCCCCCAGUGACUCUCACUUGCCAACAGUUUAUCCUCCUGGUUCUAGAUGCCCAGAUAACCACACCAUAAAUUCUCCCAAGUGAGGCACAUUUAUGUUGCUUCCAGAUCUUCUCCACAAUAACCCAGCAACACUAGAAUAAACUUGUACACUUCCAUGCUGGUGCUUUUCAUUCUAACCAGGUUUGGUUUCAAAGUGAUAGUGCCCAAUUAACUGCAGAACAUUUGCAAGUCAUGCUUCUUCCACCUGUGUUAAAACAAUGACCUGGUCCUCCUGCCUGCCCAUCAGCACUGGAUGUUGUCACUGUUGGGUAUUUUUGCUGUGGAUAAAAGACAGAAGAAUCUGUGCUGCUGCCUCCCACGGCAUUUCCCUGCCCACCGGCGAGUGAGUGCUCUGGUAAGCACACUGGAACACCCGCCCACAGUUUAUAAUUUUCUAACUAUUUUCUGAUCUUGGUUUUCAUUUUUCACAUUUAAAUUUUUUUUUUUUUUUUUUAAGACAGUCUCGCUCUGUCGCCCAGGCUGGAGUGCAGGGGCUCUCAGUUCACUGCAACCUCCGCCUCCCAGGUUUAGGCAAUUCUCAUGCCUCAGCCUCCUGAGUAGCUAGGACUACGGGCACGCACCACCACACCCAGCUACUUUUUUGUAUUUUUAGUAGAUACAGGGUUUUCCUAUGUUGCCCAGACUGGUCUUGAGCUCCUGAGCUCAGGACCUCCACCCAUCUCGGCUUCCCAAAGUGCUGUGAUUACAGGCGUGAGCCACCACGCCCAGCCAAAUUUUCUAGAAUUUGAUACAGAUUGAGUAUCCCUUAUUCAAAGUGCUUAUGACCAGAAGUCUUUCAGAUUUUGAUUUGCAUUAUACUUACCAGUUGAGCAUCCCUACUCCAAAAACCCAAAAUCUGAAAUGCUUCAAUGAGCAUUUACUUUGUCAUGUCUGUGCUGAAAAAGUCAGAUUUUACUGGGCACAGUGUCUCGUGCCUGUAGUCUCAGCUACUCUCAUGAGGCUGAUGCAGGAGGAUUGCUCAAGUUCAGGAGUUCAAGGCUAUAGUGUGCAAUGAUUUCACUUGCGACCAGCCACUGCACUCCAUCCUGCACAACAUGGCAAGACUCAAUUCUUUUUUCUUAAAGAAAAAGGUUUUGGAUUUCGGAGCAUUUCGGAUUUUCAGAUGACGGAUGAACUCAAUCUGUAUAUGUUAUGAGGUAGAGGGUCCAAAAUUUUCUUUUCCAGAAAUGUACAAAACACACCAUUUAUUUCCCUACCAAAUUGGCAUAUAGGUCUACCAUCCCUUAUCUAUAAACUGGAAAUCCAAAAGGCUCUAGAAAACAAGUCUUCCCCCAAAAUUCAUUUGGUGGCUAAAUGUGAACUGACAUUACAUUUUUCAUUUAUAUGUAAGUCAUGUGAAGAAUUAUUUGUGACUCAACUACAAGGCGCUUUCCCCAGAUCCUGUUGGAGAGGUUAGUGCUAAUACCAUAUUGUCUUUCUUUUUAUUUUAUUUUAGAGAUAGGAGUCUCACUCUGUUGCCCAGGCUGCACUGCCAUUGUGUGAUCACGGCUCACUGCAGCCUCAAACUCCUGGGCUCAAGUGAUCUUCCCAUGCUAGCCUCUUGAGUAGCUGGGACUAUAGGCACUCACCACCAUGCUUGGCUAAUUUUUUAUUUUUUGUAGAGACGAGAUCUCACUAUGGUCAGGAACUCCUGGGCUCAAGCAAUCCCACCUAAGCCUCCCAAAGUGCUGGGAUUGCAGGUGUGAGCCACUGCCCCCAGCCUUGCAUAUUGGUUUUCUGAAGCUGAAAAAUUAAUUCUGAGGCUUCUGGCCCUAAGGUUUCAGAUAAAAUAUCUGUACUAACUUUAACAAAUUACUAAGUCUGAAAUAUACUGAGAUCUUUUGCUAGACUCUCUAUUCUGGUUCCACUGUUUCAUUACUGUGCUAAUUAUCACUUUUUUUGUUUUUUAAUUGCAGCAGCUUUGUAGUAAGUUUUAGUAUUUCUGAAAUCAAUCUCUCAGCUAUUGUUAGACUGAAUUUUACAAUGUAAAACUUUAAAAUAAUUUCAUUUCAUUCAGUCCUACUCCCCGACUGAUAUUUUUGACUAGAAAUGUGCUGUCUAUAUUAAUUUGGAGAGAACUGGUUUUUGUUUUGUUUCACUAUUAAAUUGCCUAUUUAAGAACACAGAACAUUCCUCCAUUCAUUAAGGUCUAUUUCUUUUUUUUUUUUUUUUUUUUUUUGAGAUGGAGUCUUGCUCUGUUGCUCAGGCUGAAAUGCAGUGGCAUGAUCUCAGCUCACUGCAACCUCCACCUCCAAGGUUCAAGCAAUUCUCUGCUUCAGCCUCCCAAGUAGCUGAGAUUAUAGGCACCCACCACCCCACCCGGCUAAUUUUUUGUAUUUUUAGUAGAGACAGGGUUUCACCAUCUUGGCCAGGCUGGUCUUGAACUCCUGACCUAGUGAUUCACCUGCCUCCGCCUCCCAAAGUGCUGGGAUUAUAGGCGUGAGCCACCGUGCCCGGCUAAGGUCUUAUUUCAUAUCCUUGGAGUAUUUGCAGUUCUUAAAAGAUCUCAAGCCUUUCUUCUUCCCUCCCUGUUUUUUUUUUUUUUGAGACGGAGUUUUGCUCUUGUUGCCCAGGCUGGAGUGCAAUGGCGCGAUCUUGGCUCACUGCAACCUCCGCCUCCCAGGUUCAAGCGAUUCUCCUGCCUCAGCCCCCUGAGUAGCUGAGAUUACAGGCGCCCACCACCACGCCCAGCUAAUUUUUUGUAUUUUAGUAGAGACAGGGUUUCAUUAUGUUGGCCAGGCUGGUCUCAAACUCCUGACCUCAGGCAAUCCACCCGCCUCAGCCUCCCCAAAGUGCUGGGAUUACAGGCAUGAGCCACCAUGCCUGGCCCUCAAGUCUUUCUUCUUAAAUCUGUAUUCUUAGCUAUUUCAUACAUUGUGUGGUUAUUUUAAGUAGUUUUUUUUCCAUUUAAAUUUCUAACUGGUUAAUACUAGAAUAGAGAAACACUACGACUUUUUGUACGCUAUUUUGAAUCCCAUCCCCUUACCAAAUUCUAUUAAUUCUAAGAACAUUUUGCUGGGAUCAUUCAGCUUUUCUAAGAGCAUAAUCACAUUAUUUGCACAUAAAGAGAGUUUGCAUUAUACCAAUAAUAUUGCUAGAUUUUUUGUUUUUGUUUUUGAGACGGAGUCUCGCUUUGUCGCCCAGGCUGGAGUGCAGUGGCGCGAUAUCAGCUCACUGCGAGCUCCGCCUCCCAGGUUCAUGCCAUUCUCUUUUUUUUUUUUUUUGAGACGGAGUCUCGCUCUGUUGCCCAGGCUGGAGUGCAGUGGCGGGAUCUCGGCUCACUGCAAGCUCCGCCUCCCGAGUUCACGCCAUUCUCCUGCCUCAGCCUCCCAAGUAGCUGGGACUACAGGCGCCCACCACCACGCCCGGCUAAUUUUUUGUGUUUUUAGUAGAGACGGGGUUUCACCGUUUUAGCCGGGAUGGUCUCGAUCUCCUGACCUCGUGAUCCGCCCGCCUCGGCCUCCCAAAGUGCUGGGACUACAGGCGUGAGCCACCGCGCCCGGCCUUUCAUGCCAUUCUCUUGCCUCAGCCUCCCGAGUAGCUGGGACUACAGGCGCCCGCCACCACGUCUGGCUAAUUUUUUGUAUUUUUAGUAGAGAUGGGGUUUCACCGUGUUAGCCAGGAUGGUCUCGAUCUCCUGACCUCGUGAUCCACCCACCUCGGCCUCCCAAAGUGCUGGGAUUACAGGCAUGAGCCACCGCGCCCGGCAACUGUUGCUAGAUUUCUUAGGGAACCAUCCCUCCAUUCCAGAAACAAACCUUACUUAUAAUGUAUCAUACAUAGGGAUCACUACUAGAUUGAUAGUUACUAAUAUUUUAUUUAGCACUUCAUUUUAUUUAUUUUUUUGAGACAGAGUCUUGCUCUGUUGCCCCGGCUGGAAUGCAGUGGCACGAUCACAGCUCAUUGCAGCCUCAACCUCCUGGGCUCAGGUGAUCCUCCCACCUCAGCCUCCCAAGUAGCUGGGACCACAGGCCCCAGUACCUGGCUAAUUUUUUUAUUUUUAAUUUUAUAGACACAGUGUCUCACUAUAUUGCCCAGGCUGGUCUUGAACUCCUGGGCUCAAAUGAUCCUCCCACCUCAGUCUCCCCAAGUGCUGGGAUUACAGGUAUAAGCCACUAUAUCCAGCCAACUUUCUUUCUUUUUUUUCUUUUUUUUUUUUUGAGGAGUCUCACUCUGUUGCCCAGGCUGGAGUGCAGUGGCGCGAUCUCGGCUCACUGCAACCUCCGCCUCCUGGGUUCACACCAUUCUCCUGCCUCAGCCUCUCGAGUAGCUGGGACUACAGGCGCCCGUCACUACGCCCGGCUAAUUUUUUGUAUUUUUAGUAGAGAUGGGGUUUCACCGUGUUAGCCAGGAUGGUCUUGAUCUCCUGACCUCGUGAUCCGCCUGCCUCGGCCUCCCAAAGUGCUGGGAUUACAGGCAUGAGCCACCGCGCCCGGCCAAUCCAGCCCACUUUCAUAUCUUUAAUAAUAGUAAACUAAUCUACAGUUUCAUUUUGGUAUCAUCUUUAUCAGAAUUUUGGAAUUAAGGUUUAAGAAGCUUCCUAAAUAUUGAGAGGACAGACUCUAGCAUAGCAGUCUGAGGCGUUCCCUGGAACACUCCCUAGUGAAACUGAUGAAAAGUAUUAAAAAACAACCAUUUAAAGUCUCUGAAAAUGUUCCUAAGGACAUACAGCCCUAUGAGAAAGAUUUAAUGAGGAAAAGCUACUAAAACUCAGUUCCAUGAAGAGUUGUGAUGUCUGAAACACAACCUAUUGCAUCCCUGCCUCCCCCAGCUUAGUGUGAUGGAAACUCCACUCCAGACAGUACAGCCAAGAAGACAGGUCUGCCCGCAUCUACCCAGAUCAUCUCAGUUAAGGGGUAUGAUAUCUUCCCAGGAGGAACAGAAUGUCAGCAUCUAUUUUUCUGAGUUGGAGUUUCACUCUUGGUUGCCCAGGCUGGAGUGCAAUGGCGUGAUAUCGGCUCACUGCAACCUCUACUUCCCGGGUUCAAACAAUUCUCCUGCCUCAGCCUUCCGAGUAGCUGGGAUUACAAGUGCCCGCCACCAAGCCCGGCUAAUUUUUGUAUUUUUAGUAAAGAUGGGGUUUCACGAUGUUGUCCAGGCUGGUCUUGAACUCCUGACCUCAGGUGAUCUGCCCACCUUGGCCUCCCAAAGUGCUGGGAUUACAGGCGUGAGCCACUGUACCCAGCCGGAUGUCAGUAUCUCUCAUCCCGCCCCCAGCUACCUGCUGAUGAGGCUAAGUUCUAGACAAGCAUAGCUGAGAGAGAACGGUUCCUAUCUUCUACCCAGCCACACGCACGUGGAAUGGAGGCUUGACCCUGGGCAUGGCACACUAAGAAUAUAAGGGCUCACAUACCCAUGGCUUGUUCAUAAAGCAGAGGUCCCAUGCCAGGAAAGGCAAACCAAGACCGGAGGCUACAGCCUACUGUACCUCCUCCCAUGUCUCUCCUAAAGUGGCAGAGUCACUCAGAGAGAGGUACUCCAUUGUCUCCAUCCCCAGAGCCUUGGCUCAGAGAUUCUGCCCACAGUGAGAGCACGGCCUUAAAUCAGUAAACUCCCAAUCUCAAAGGAACUGACUGACUUCACUGGCAAGAGUGUUGGGAAGUGCAAGACUAGGGCCUCUCUCAAAAACAAUGGAGACUAGGGAGGAAAAAAAUUAAAAGGACAUUGAUAGCUUUUUUUUUUCUUUCUGAAUAUUUAUUGGAGUUAAACACUGAUAGCUUUGUCCUUUUUUUUUUCCCCCACCACACAGCCAUAAAAAAGAAGGACCGGUAGAUUUGACAGUGAUAUUAGCUAACCCAUAGGCUAACUAGGUUACCAAAGAGGACAAGGACCAGUGAAAUAGCUAAGAACAGACUCCCUGGGUUCAGAAUAAAUCUCAAACAACCACCUCAAAAACCAUCCCUCUUGGGCCUGGCAUAGUGGCUGACGCCUGUAAUCCCAGCACCUUGUGAGGCUGAGGUGGGUGGCUCAUAAGAUCAAGAGUUCGAGACCAGCCUGGCCAACAUGGUGAAACCCCGUCUCUACUAACAAUACAAAAAUUAGCCGGGCGUGGUAGCACAUGCCUGUAAUCCCAGCUACUCGGGAGGCUGAGGCAGGAGAAUUGCUUGAACCUGAGAGGUGGAGGUUGCAGCAAGCCAAGAUCGCGCCACUGCAUUCCAGCCUGGGCAACAGAGCAAGACUCUUGUCUGGGAGAGGGGGCGGGGAGGGGAGGGGAAAAAAAUCCCUAUAAAGGAGCCCAAAUUUAAUUGGAUCAGAUUGGGCAGCAAUCUAUGCCCCAAAACAUUGUUGAAAACAAUAAAGCAAUCAGCCAGCAAUUGGUAGAGUUUAACAGCUGAGUAUGGUCUGGGAAAAAGAGCGAGCCCAUGGCUUCCUCCCUCCAAGACACACCACCAGUUUCAUACUGUGUGAGAAUGAAAGAGACCUAACUAAAAAAAUCUAGCAAGUCACUAAACAAAUAGACAAGCAAAUACAGUAACAAGACCCUGGGAGGGUGGGUGGGGGAUCAGUGCCCAGAGUUGCCACAACAAAUUAUCUAAGAUGUCUAGUUAACAGUGAAAAAUUAUGAGACAUCCAAAGGAAACUCUGACCCAGGCACAGAUGAAAAAGCAGACAAUAGAAACUUCCUGUGACAGUGAACAGAUGUCAAAUUCAACAAACAUUUUAAAGUAGCAAUUGUAAAUAGGUUUAAAGAAAACUCAAGUAGAAGAAGGUAUAAUGACACUGUCUCAUGAAACAAUUUAAACACAGAGAUAGAAAUGAUAAUAAUAAAAUGGUAAAUCUUAGAGCUGAAAAGUACAAUAACGGACACCAAAAAUCCAUUUGAAGGACUCAACAGAUUUGAACUUAAGAAUUAGUGAACUUGGGCCGGGUGCGGUGGCUCACGCCUGUAAUCCCAGCACUUUGGGAGGCCGAGGCGGGCAGAUCAUGAGGUCAGGA
This 8559-nucleotide long non-coding RNA is filed under the name Homo sapiens (human). Its description in RNAcentral is "HSALNT0396275". Lineage: Eukaryota; Metazoa; Chordata; Mammalia; Primates; Hominidae. The record is from RNAcentral.